GAUGAACGCUAGCUACAGGCUUAACACAUGCAAGUCGAGGGGAAACGAUAUUGGAAGCUUGCUUCCGAUAGGCGUCGACCGGCGCACGGGUGAGUAACGCGUAUCCAACCUGCCCACCACUUGGGGAUAACCUUGCGAAAGUAAGACUAAUACCCAAUGACGUCUCUAGAAGACAUCUGAAAGAGAUUAAAGAUUUAUCGGUGAUGGAUGGGGAUGCGUCUGAUUAGCUUGUUGGCGGGGUAACGGCCCACCAAGGCGACGAUCAGUAGGGGUUCUGAGAGGAAGGUCCCCCACAUUGGAACUGAGACACGGUCCAAACUCCUACGGGAGGCAGCAGUGAGGAAUAUUGGUCAAUGGGCGAGAGCCUGAACCAGCCAAGUAGCGUGCAGGAUGACGGCCCUAUGGGUUGUAAACUGCUUUUAUAAGGGAAUAAAGUGAGUCUCGUGAGACUUUUUGCAUGUACCUUAUGAAUAAGGACCGGCUAAUUCCGUGCCAGCCGCCGCCGUAA
Molecule: ribosomal RNA, 508 nt
Filed under: uncultured bacterium
Lineage: Bacteria
Description: partial 16S ribosomal RNA
Rfam family: Bacterial small subunit ribosomal RNA
Source: RNAcentral